Molecule: ribosomal RNA, 448 nt
Filed under: uncultured bacterium
Lineage: Bacteria
Description: partial 16S ribosomal RNA
Rfam family: Bacterial small subunit ribosomal RNA
Source: RNAcentral
AACGAACGCUGGCGGCAGGCUUAACACAUGCAAGUCGAGCGCCCCGCAAGGGGAGCGGCAGACGGGUGAGUAACGCGUGGGAAUCUACCGAGCCCUAAGGAAUAGCUCCGGGAAACUGGAAUUAAUACCUUAUACGCCCUUCGGGGGAAAGAUUUAUCGGGGUUUGAUGAGCCCGCGUUGGAUUAGCUAGUUGGUGGGGUAAAGGCCUACCAAGGCGACGAUCCAUAGCUGGUCUGAGAGGAUGAUCAGCCACAUUGGGACUGAGACACGGCCCAAACUCCUACGGGAGGCAGCAGUGGGGAAUAUUGGACAAUGGGCGCAAGCCUGAUCCAGCCAUGCCGGGUGAGUGAUGAAGGCCCUAGGGUUGUAAAGCUCUUUCACCGGUGAAGAUAAUGACGGUAACCGGAGAAGAAGCCCCGGCUAACUUCGUGCCAGCCGCCCGCCGUAA